CCAUUGAAUGCACACACUAAUUCCGAGAUCUGUGUUUUUUUCUAAUCCUCCAGUUUACUCAUGGAUGAAGAUUCUUGCUAAUGUCCUCUAAGAUAGGUGCUAAUUGCCAAUGAGAUGAUUUAUCAUUUGCGUCACUUGGAGAGCUGCUAAGGCCUAUGCAAAUGUGGGGUUGAUGUUUUGGAUUUUAGAGGUCCACACCUCCAUAAUUCUUCCUUCUGAGUCUCUACAUAUGACUGAAGUGGUUGAAAAUGAGUCUCUAAUUGCUGCAUCAAAAAAGAAACUCCAAUAAUGAGGUGGAAGUUUGAUCCAGCUUUCCUUGAGGAUAUUCUAUCUUUUGCUUCUAUGCUUAUUUGUAAUCUUGGUAUGUAGUGUUUAGUUGGUGGGAAUCCUUUUCGAUCGUUGAGGAUGCAUGGUUGUAAAUAAUAUCAUUUCUUUUCCUCUAAAUGAAUUUCAUAGCAAUCACUGCAAAAAGUUGAAAGGGAUGAAUUUCUGGUUCCAAGCCAAGUUUGGGAGCUGGAUUUAUUAUCAUCUUUAUCCAAUCUCGCAUGGACGUAAUGGAGAGAGAUGCUGGAUUUAGAGGUCAAUUGUUGUAUUUCCACAAUAUUCUAACUACAGGGCAUUCCACAAAAAGAUGAAGCAACGUUUCUUCUGCCUGGUUGAAUAUAAGACAAAGUUCCUGUUGUAGAGUCGGGAUUAUUCUGCUUAGUUAAGCCCUAGUAGAAAGUAUAUCCCUAACAGUUUUCCAAAGUAGGAAUUUGUGACAAUCAUGUAUUUUCAGGCUCUAGAGUUUUUUGAAGUUAGAGGUUCGAAAUCUUGGGGCACUGUGAUGUCUGCAAAUUUUGCCGCCAUAUGAUAAGCUGUCUUAACAGAAAAUCUACCAUUAUGAUUUGGGAGCCAUAUCAACUUGUCACUCCUUUGGUUGCUUUGAGCAAAAGGAAUUUUUUGUAUGUGUUCUAUGCUUUCUUGUUCAAAUAA
This is a long non-coding RNA of Carya illinoinensis, 975 nucleotides long. RefSeq lists it as uncharacterized. NCBI's taxonomy places the organism in Eukaryota, Viridiplantae, Streptophyta, Magnoliopsida, Fagales, Juglandaceae. The transcript is spliced from 2 exons. The record is from RefSeq and is a predicted model, not a curated record.